This 461-nucleotide ribosomal RNA is filed under the name uncultured Methanolinea sp. RNAcentral describes it as "bacterial SSU rRNA". It matches the Rfam family "Archaeal small subunit ribosomal RNA", at positions 878 to 1338 of the family's 1478-position model. The record is from RNAcentral. Lineage: Archaea; Methanobacteriati; Methanobacteriota; Methanomicrobia; Methanomicrobiales; Methanoregulaceae.
ACCACAACGGGUGGAGCCUGCGGUUUAAUUGGACUCAACGCCGGGCAGCUCAUCGGAUAAGACAGCUGGAUGAUAGCCGGGCUGAAGACUCUGCUUGACUAGCUGAGAGGAGGUGCAUGGCCGUCGUCAGUUCGUACUGUGAAGCAUCCUGUUAAGUCAGGCAACGAGCGAGACCCACGCCAACAGUUGCCAGCAUGUCCUCCGGGAUGAUGGGGACACUGUUGGGACCGCCUCUGCUAAAGAGGAGGAAGGAAUGGGCAACGGUAGGUCAGCAUGCCCCGAAUUAUCCGGGCUACACGCGGGCUACAAUGGUCAGGACAAUGGGUAUCGACACCGAGAGGUGGAGGCAAUCUCCUAAACCUGUCCUUAGUUCGGAUUGUGGGCUGCAACUCGCCCACAUGAAGCUGGAAUCCGUAGUAAUCGCGUUUCAAAAUAGCGCGGUGAAUAUGUCCCUGCUCCUU